UACGUAGGGGGCUAGCGUUGUUCGGAAUUACUGGGCGUAAAGCGCGCGUAGGCGGACCUGCAAGUCGGGGGUGAAAGCCCGGGGCUCACCCCCGGAAGUGCAUUGGAAACUGGUGGACUCGAGUCCCGGAGAGGAGAGUGGAAUUCCUGGUGUAGCGGUGAAAUGCGUAGAUAUCAGGAGGAACACCGGUGGCGAAGGCGGCUCUCUGGACGGUGACUGACGCUGAGACGCGAAAGCGUGGGGAGCAAACAGG
RNAcentral lists this ribosomal RNA (253 nucleotides) under uncultured bacterium. RNAcentral's name for it is "partial 16S ribosomal RNA". It matches the Rfam family "Bacterial small subunit ribosomal RNA", at positions 524 to 776 of the family's 1533-position model. The record is from RNAcentral.